RNAcentral lists this long non-coding RNA (219 nucleotides) under Daucus carota (carrot). RNAcentral describes it as "long non-coding RNA (DCAR_LNC007119)". The record is from RNAcentral. Lineage: Eukaryota; Viridiplantae; Streptophyta; Magnoliopsida; Apiales; Apiaceae.
CAUACAAAACAAAGAUGUAGUUGGACACUGCUAUGAUUGGCACUGAACUCAUUGUCAUUGUCCUGCAACGAAUUGAAUUUGUUGCAAGAUAAAAUAACACUUAGAUAUAUCACAAAUAUACGGGACAAAUUAUUAAUAUUACAUUACUAGAAAUGCAGGACAAGAAUAGUGUAAAUUACAAACAUAGUUUUGAAUUAAAACUAAAAACAAGAAAUGCAG